CACCUCUAGCAUUACAAGUAUUAGAGGCAUCGCCUGCCCAGUGACUGUAGUUAAACGGCCGCGGUAUACUGACCGUGCAAAGGUAGCAUAAUCACUUGUUCCUUAAUUAGGGACUUGUAUGAACGGCUGAACGAGGAUCCGACUGUCUCUUAUUUUUAAUCAGUGAAAUUGACCUUCCAGUGAAGAGGCUGGAAUUACUAAAUAAGACGAGAAGACCCUAUGGAGCUUAAAUUUAUAAACUUAUUUAUUAUAAUAGUACUCCUAAUGGAACAAAAACAGUAUUAUAAGCUUAAAAUUUCGGUUGGGGUGACCUCGGAGAACAAAAAAUCCUCCGAACGAUUAUAACAUAGACCAACAAGUCAAAGUAACUUAACUUUCCAAUUGACCCAAAAAUAAUUUGAUCAACGGACCAAGUUACCCUAGGGAUAACAGCGCAAUCCUAUUUAAGAGUUCAUAUCGACAAUAGGGUUUACGACCUCGAUGUUGGAUCAGGACAUCCCAAUGGUGCAGAAGCUAUUAAUGGUUCGUUUGUUCAACGAUUAAA
RNAcentral lists this ribosomal RNA (544 nucleotides) under Praomys daltoni (Dalton's Praomys). Its description in RNAcentral is "partial 16S ribosomal RNA". It matches the Rfam family "Bacterial large subunit ribosomal RNA", at positions 1816 to 2592 of the family's 2925-position model. Lineage: Eukaryota; Metazoa; Chordata; Mammalia; Rodentia; Muridae. The record is from RNAcentral.